Molecule: non-coding RNA, 3287 nt
Organism: Thamnophis sirtalis
Lineage: Eukaryota; Metazoa; Chordata; Lepidosauria; Squamata; Natricidae
Source: RefSeq, a predicted model, not a curated record
GGAAGACGCGUUACUCUUCUCCCCCCUCCCUCCUACUCCUGUGGCCGUUUGAGCGGUUGAGGAAAAGGGCAAGAAGGAAUCGUAGGUCUUUUCGGGAAAGAGUCGCUGUAUCCUGGCUCUUUCGCCCCCCGCCCUCCCCAGCCUCUCGGCCUGCGCCUCCCGGUGAGGGGACACUUUUCUUCUCCGUCUUCUCCGGAUCUGCCCUUCUUCAGGAGCUGCAUAAUCCGCCCUUUUAGGUCUCUUGUUAAUGCUGAAGAUUUCCGGCCGUUGCCCCCGUGACUCGCCUCAGGGCCCAGGUAAUUUUUAUCAUGGAUUGUGAAGAAAUUCCAGCGUUUUCAACUUCAGUGGAAGAAGCUGCAUACUGGAAAGAGCUGACUUUAAAAUAUAAACAAAGUUUUCAAGAGGCCCAUGAAGAGCUGGCAGAAUUUCAGGAAGGCAGCAGAGAACUGGAAGCAGAAUUAGAGGCCCAACUGGUACAGGCUGAACAAAGAAACCGAGAUUUACAAGCAGACAACCAAAGAUUAAAACAGGAAGUGGAAACCUUAAAGGAAAAACUUGAACACCAGUAUGCACAAAAUUAUAAGCAAGUGUCUUUAUUGGAAGAUGACUUGAGCCAGACUCGGGCAAUUAAAGACCAAUUGCAUAAAUAUGUAAGAGAGCUAGAACAAGCCAAUGACGAUCUUGAGCGUGCAAAAAGGGCCACAAUUGUUUCUUUGGAAGAUUUUGAACAAAGGCUGAAUCAAGCCAUAGAGAGAAAUGCUUUUUUGGAAAGCGAACUGGAUGACAAGGAAUCUCUGCUAGUUUCUGUGCAAAGACUGAAAGAUGAAGCUAGAGAUUUAAGGCAAGAACUAGCAGUACGAGAAAGACAACAAGAAGUAACUAGGAAAUCUGCUCCUAGUUCCCCAACCCUGGAUUGUGAAAAGAUGGAUUCAGCAGUCCAAGCUUCACUGUCCCUGCCAGCAACACCUGUUGGGAAAGGCUGUGAAAACAGUUUUCCAAACUCUCCAAAAGCUAUUCCCAAUGGCUUUGGUACCAGCCCCCUUACUCCAUCUGCCCGAAUAUCAGCUCUCAAUAUUGUGGGUGAUCUUCUACGAAAAGUGGGGGCUUUAGAAUCCAAAUUAGCUGCUUGUAGGAACUUUGCAAAGGACCAGGCUUCACGUAAAUCAUAUGUUGCAGGAAACAUAAAUAGCAGUAUGAUCAACAGCAAUGGCAUGAAGUUCUGUCAUCCAGGACAUACAACAUUUUAUGACAAAGCCCCCUGUAGUGUUCUCCCUGCCCCCAAUUGUCGCUGGAUCCUGAAACAGCCACGUUUGCUUAUGGACCCGACCCAAUCUGCUGCUGCUGCCUUAUGAAUGGCCUAUAGUUGGGUGGUGGGACUGACUGAGGUCAGAUUCCCUACAUAUUUCAUGGGCUUGUUUCUCUUCUGGCCCCUUGAUGAAAUAAGGCAAAAUGAAAUCUAAAACAGAUACCAAGGAUUUUAUGAUAAAAUGUUUUAUUUCGUGAUUUGAAACCAUCUCUUUUAUACCAUCAGUGAUACCAAGAAAUAUUCCAAAAGAUCAGCACCAUGAGGUAAAAGUGACUGGUGAACAUACCACAAAGAAUAAUCACUUUUACAAGCUGAUUCAAAAAUGUCUUCAAACGACAAUGUUAGUUAAGGCUCAACCAUGAAUAAGAUUAUUAUUUUAUAGAGGCAUUGAAUUAUAUAGUUACUAUCAUUUAUUUAUUCAUUCAAUUUAAGCACAACCCAACUCCCAGACUAACACUGAGCAAGUUGCAAUAAAAUUAAACAGAAUGUGCAAAAUAAAUACAGAAAAGAUAAGUACAAAGAAAAAUAAAGAACAAAUGGCAACAGCCUCCACACAUACAAACAUGUGAUUGGGCUCCAGCCAUUCUAACCCAAGGCCUGGGAGAACAAGUAGGUCUUUAAGGCGUUCUGGAAUGCCAUCAGUAUAGAAUGCCACCAGCAGAAUUCCACUUCAGAGGUCAGAGUCUACUACAGAGAAGGCAUGGUUCCUGGGUCCCAUAUAUGUAACACUGUUUAAUUGAAGGGAUCUGAAUCUCGCCAACCUUAUCGGCUCUCAUUAGCCACAGAAGACAGGCAGUCCCUCAAAUAAAACAGGUCAUAAAAGCAGCUUAAUCACUCCCAUAAGCAUAAUGGUGUACUUUGUGGAAUAAGGGUGGCAUAUGGGCAUACUGAGACAUGCCCUUCACUGCCCACACCACUGCAUUCUGGAGCCGUUGAAGUUUCCAAGUGGUCUUCAAGGGCAGCCCCAUGUAGACACAGAAUUGCCACAAUCAAGCUGCAAGUUAACUAGGGCAUAAGUAACUGUCUGGCAUAUGGGAAGCUCCUGUAAUUGAUUAUUGUAGAAGUUGGAAUUGAAUGGGCACUUAACUAAAACAAAAUAUUUGCAUGCUUUGCUUGUUUCUUGUUUUAAUCUGCAGGCAUCUAAACAAACUUUUGAGAGUUAUAUAACUGCUUGCAGCACAACUUUUUAAUAAUUUACUAAAUUAUAGAAGUUGACGAGUACCAGAUCAAUUUUUAAAACACUUCAUUCUAGAAAAAAAUAAUUCAUAAGGAUUUCUUUACAGUUUUCUGCAAAGUGACCAUAAUUUCCACUGAAUAAAUUGGGAGAUCUGGUGGAUCAUUUGUUCUGUCUUCUUUCUGAUACUAUACGUUGUGUUACUAGCAGUCUUUAUUAGUACUAUUGCCUGCCAUGAGUUGAUUGGUAUGGAAUCUAUAGUCUCAAGUGUAGCUGGAUAGGUGUUUUCAAUUACAGUUUUUUAUUACAGUUUUUUCUUUUUUUGUUUGUGUUUCAGUUCUUGACAAUUUGUAUUGCUUAACAGUGUGGCUUCCUCAUUGUUUAAUAGUAAGAAUGGAUCUUUUUACUUUUCUCAGGGUAGCUUUAGAGUACCAGGAAAAUAGGGAAAAAAAUAUCCAAUAUUUUUAUCACUAUCAUUUAGCUUGUUCUGGGAAAACCCAGCUGCUCUUGGAUGUCAUUGUUAUACUUGCUAAGUUUGAUGCUUUAUAGCUGGUGAAUUAGAGCUGAUGAAUUGUACAACUGAUCAAUAUAGGCUAACAGUUUUGAUUCUAUUCCAACCCAUACUUUAUAAAUUUCCUUACUUGAGAUAUAGCUUCUAGCUGCAAUCUUGAUUAAAAUAGGUAGGGUCCAGUUAGUGUAAUGUUACUGGGGAAAUGUUUUUCGUCAGAAUUUAGAAUUUCAUUUCAGUGAUACGUUUAUAUUUUUGUUAUAUAGUUGCGCAAUGCAUUUUAAGAUUUGAAAACAAUC